This is a long non-coding RNA of Solanum pennellii, 337 nucleotides long. RefSeq lists it as uncharacterized. The transcript has 2 exons. NCBI's taxonomy places the organism in Eukaryota, Viridiplantae, Streptophyta, Magnoliopsida, Solanales, Solanaceae. The record is from RefSeq and is a predicted model, not a curated record.
AAACACCCAAAACUCCUCUAAAAAUUUUCUCUAGAAGUAAGAAAAAGGAGAAAGAAGAGGAGGCUAGGUCAAGCACAAGUCUCCAAUUUUCAACCUUUUAUGGGCAUUACGACUAAGCUAAGACUCGUGGCUAGCUUCAUUGAUGAGCAAGGAAGUGAAGAUUUGGUUAGUCCUCAUUGUGUUCAAGGAUGUGAUCACCCUUUUCUCUUAUGUAUUUCUUUCAUGCAUUGCACUAUUGUAUGAGAUGUGUGCCAAAACUUUAUUCAUGUUGUUUUAAAUGGCUUGAGACUAUGGUAUUCUUCAGCUCGUUUUAUAAAAGACUUUGAUUGUGUUGAAA